UAGGCAGGUGGGGCACAGGGCCAGAUGGGCGCAUCCGCCGAGUCACCGUUGCCAACCGCUCGACGCGGAGGUGGAGGCGAGGCGCAACCUCUGCUCUCCAACUAGCGCUGGCGGCUAGGAGCUAGGAAGGGAGGGAAGUGCGAGUGCCGGGUCGCCUGGCUGCUGCUGAAACUCUAAGGUUCGUUUUCCUUUGGUUAGUCUCUCAGAAUAAAAUUCUUAAGAUAACCUUACCAAACGCAGAGAGCUAGGGAAUGUCUCUUGUCUGUUUUGUUCUGAAGAAGAGUCGGUUCAUCAUCUUCUUUUUUAUUGUGCAUUAGCUAAUCAGAUUUGGGAGUAUGUGUCGGAUAGUUUGCAUAUUCAGCAGAACCAUAGUUUUCUUUCAAUAGGAAAUAUGUGGUUAAGUAAUAAAAAUUCCUAGUGCAUAACAUGGUGUGUCCUGCUCCUGCAACCUUGUGAGAGUUGUGGAAGUUGAGAAAUGCACUUUGUUUUCAUAAUUCAAUCCGGAGGAAUCUAGGGUUGCUGCUAUGGAAAGUGGCGAGUACUGCAGAGAACUGGAAAAUUCUCUGCCCAUCUGGAGCACGAGCGAAUCUGGAGAAUGAUGUGAAGAUGUUAAAGUCUUCGGCAAGGGCACCAAACAGAUUGCGCUGGAAAUGAUCUUUUGUUUGGAAGAGAGUUGGGGAAUGGCUGGAGUAACAAUGUUUUUGCUGCCCGGUUUUAUUUUCUGUUGGUCUUGGAAGCGCUGCUAGGAUAUUAGCUGGCUGGGGGGUCUAAAUUUUGAUGUAAUAAAAGGAUUUAUGUAACUUGGAUGCUAUCUGCCUUGCCACUGGUAUCAGGCUUGUUGGCCUUGAUGCUUGGGAAUGAAAGCCCUUAGAGCAUUUACAACCCAA
Molecule: long non-coding RNA, 887 nt
Filed under: Zea mays
Lineage: Eukaryota; Viridiplantae; Streptophyta; Magnoliopsida; Poales; Poaceae
Description: long non-coding RNA (ZMAY_LNC003459)
Source: RNAcentral